GACGAACGCUGGCGGCGUGCUUAACACAUGCAAGUCGAACGGUGAACUCCGCUUGCGGGGGGAUCAGUGGCGAACGGGUGAGUAACACGUGGGCAACCUGCCCUCAGCUCUGGGAUAACUCCAAGAAAUUGGGGCUAAUACCGGUUAUGACCGCUGACCGCAUGGUCUGGUGGUGGAAAGAUUUAUCGGCUGGGGAUGGGCCCGCGGCCUAUCAGCUUGUUGGUGGGGUAGUGGCCUACCACGGCGCCGACGGGUAGCCGGCCUGAGAGGGUGGCCGGCCACACGGGUACUGAGGGACGGAGCAGACUGCAACGGGAGACAGCAGGGGGGAAUAUGGCGCAAUGAGCGAAAGCCUGACGAAGAGACGCCGCGUGGGUGAUGACGGCCUUCGGGGUGUAAACCUCUUCCAGCAGGGACGAAGCGAUAGUGACGGUACCUGCAGAAGAAGCACCGGCCAACUACGUG
This 465-nucleotide ribosomal RNA is filed under the name uncultured bacterium. RNAcentral's name for it is "partial 16S ribosomal RNA". It matches the Rfam family "Bacterial small subunit ribosomal RNA", at positions 28 to 507 of the family's 1533-position model. The record is from RNAcentral.